AUUGAACGCUGGCGGCAGGCCUAACACAUGCAAGUCGAGCGGAUGAAGGGAGCUUGCUCCUGGAUUCAGCGGCGGACGGGUGAGUAAUGCCUAGGAAUCUGCCUGGUAGUGGGGGAUAACGUCCGGAAACGGGCGCUAAUACCGCAUACGUCCUGAGGGAGAAAGUGGGGGAUCUUCGGACCUCACGCUAUCAGAUGAGCCUAGGUCGGAUUAGCUAGUUGGUGGGGUAAAGGCCUACCAAGGCGACGAUCCGUAACUGGUCUGAGGGGAUGAUCAGCCACCCGGAAACUGGACACCGGCCCGACCCCCAAGGGGGGCCGGCGUGGGGAAUUUUUGGCAAUGGGGCAAAGCCCUAUGCCGGCAAGGCCGGGUGGGGAAAAAAGGUUUUGGAUUUGAAAACCAUUUUAGUUUGGGAGAAAAGGUGUGAAAUUAACCCUUUGCUUUUUGACGGUUACCAACAAAAAAGCCCCGGCUAACUUCGGG
Molecule: ribosomal RNA, 483 nt
Filed under: uncultured bacterium
Lineage: Bacteria
Description: partial 16S ribosomal RNA
Rfam family: Bacterial small subunit ribosomal RNA
Source: RNAcentral